Molecule: long non-coding RNA, 178 nt
Organism: Priapulus caudatus
Lineage: Eukaryota; Metazoa; Priapulida; Priapulimorpha; Priapulimorphida; Priapulidae
Exons: 3
Source: RefSeq, a predicted model, not a curated record
CUUCAUUUGUAAAACUGUGCUCUUCGUGUUGGCAGUGACUUUACGCGCGCAUGCUGGAGCUCGCAUUCGCAUCAUGAAGGGAAAGGCGGCAGUCAUUUGGCUCGCUCUGGUUAUGAGCCACCAUGUCAUUGGUCAGGGACUGAGACAGCAAGGCGUGGGUCAAUUCGGUGCACGCCAG